UACGUAGGGUGCAAGCGUUGUCCGGAAUUAUUGGGCGUAAAGAGCUCGUAGGUGGCCUGUCGCGUCGGCUGUGAAAACUCGGGGCUCAACUCCGAGCUUGCAGUCGAUACGGGCAGGCUAGAGUUCGGCAGGGGAGACUGGAAUUCCUGGUGUAGCGGUGGAAUGCGCAGAUAUCAGGAGGAACACCGGUGGCGAAGGCGGGUCUCUGGGCCGAUACUGACACUGAGAAGCGAAAGCGUGGGGAGCGAACAGG
Molecule: ribosomal RNA, 253 nt
Filed under: uncultured bacterium
Lineage: Bacteria
Description: partial 16S ribosomal RNA
Rfam family: Bacterial small subunit ribosomal RNA
Source: RNAcentral